This 679-nucleotide ribosomal RNA is filed under the name Pleurotus ostreatus (oyster mushroom). RNAcentral describes it as "eukaryotic LSU rRNA". The stretch from base 264 to 417 matches the Rfam family "5.8S ribosomal RNA". Lineage: Eukaryota; Fungi; Basidiomycota; Agaricomycetes; Agaricales; Pleurotaceae. The record is from RNAcentral.
UCCGUAGGUGAACCUGCGGAAGGAUCAUUAAUGAAUUCACUAUGGAGUUGUUGCUGGCCUCUAGGGGCAUGUGCACGCUUCACUAGUCUUUCAACCACCUGUGAACUUUUGAUAGAUCUGUGAAGUCGUCUUUCAAGUCGUCAGACUUGGUUUGCUGGGAUUUAAACGUCUCGGUGUGACAACGCAGUCUAUUUACUUAACACACCCCAAAUGUAUGUCUACGAAUGUCAUUUAAUGGGCCUUGUGCCUAUAAACCAUAAUACAACUUUCAACAACGGAUCUCUUGGCUCUCGCAUCGAUGAAGAACGCAGCGAAAUGCGAUAAGUAAUGUGAAUUGCAGAAUUCAGUGAAUCAUCGAAUCUUUGAACGCACCUUGCGCCCCUUGGUAUUCCGAGGGGCAUGCCUGUUUGAGUGUCAUUAAAUUCUCAAACUCACUUUGGUUUCUUUCCAAUUGUGAUGUUUGGAUUGUUGGGGGCUGCUGGCCUUGACAGGUCGGCUCCUCUUAAAUGCAUUAGCAGGACUUCUCAUUGCCUCUGCGCAUGAUGUGAUAAUUAUCACUCAUCAAUAGCACGCAUGAAUAGAGUCCAGCUCUCUAAUCGUCCGCAAGGACAAUUUGACAAUUUGACCUCAAAUCAGGUAGGACUACCCGCUGAACUUAAGCAUAUCAAUAAGCGGAGGA